Long non-coding RNA from Rhipicephalus microplus (southern cattle tick), 229 nucleotides. NCBI's taxonomy places the organism in Eukaryota, Metazoa, Arthropoda, Arachnida, Ixodida, Ixodidae. The record is from RefSeq and is a predicted model, not a curated record.
GUGGCACUUUUCGUACUUCAAGAGAAUCGGCGUUGCGGGACCGAAGCCAAACCUGAUAUGGGGCAACCUUGUAGAAUACCACUCUACGGAUAUAUAUAAGGUUAUUGGAAGAUGGAUAGAAAAAUAUGGGGACAUAUUUGGGUUCUACAACGGGGACGUGCCUUUCGUCGUCACUCAGGACUUGGAGAUGAUAGACGAAGUUUACGUGAGAAACUUCUCGAAUUUUACU